Molecule: unclassified non-coding RNA, 250 nt
Filed under: uncultured fungus
Lineage: Eukaryota; Fungi
Description: sequence contains ITS1
Rfam family: 5.8S ribosomal RNA (bases 1-107)
Source: RNAcentral
GAAAUGCGAUACAUGGUGUGAAUUGCAGAAUCCCGUGAACCAUCGAGUUUUUGAACAAAAGUUGCGCCCGAAGCCAUUAGGCCGAGGGUACGUCUGCCUAGGCGUCACACGUCGUUCCCCUCCAAAACCUUUUUAAGGCGAUGGAUGGGUGGAAGAUAGCUCUCCCAUGUGCUUUGUCACGUGGUUGGCCCAAAUAAAAAUUCCUUGGCAUCCAACGCCGCGACAAUCGAUCGUUACCUGCUUAAUUUAA